Molecule: non-coding RNA, 2510 nt
Organism: Xyrichtys novacula (pearly razorfish)
Lineage: Eukaryota; Metazoa; Chordata; Actinopteri; Labriformes; Labridae
Source: the annotation of a GenBank genome assembly
UGUUGAUGGCUGGACAUUGCAUCAUCCUAAAAAACUUGGAGGCCAGUAUGGAAAAAAAUAAAAAGUUAUAAGACUUUUAAGAAUGUGGAUUUUUGGGUUAUAUUUGGUGCCCCCUAGAACCCAAACCGUGGGGUGCAGCAAGAUGAUUUGUACAACUUUUAAUGGCCAUGGGGUGUAGAUUGGCCUGAGCAAAUUUGGUGCCGGUGGAAAGAUAGCCUUCGGAGGAGUUAGUGAAAUUCCAAUGUGUGCGGAUCAGCAAAAAAUGCAAAAUAGCCCUUUAACCGUACAUUUGACAGAUACAUGCCCUUUGACUUUUUCGUAGAUCUUAUUGAGAUACACGUGAUUGUCAAAUUUUGUGUCAAUAUGACAAAGCAUACAGGCGUGACACUCGACAAUGUGUAUUUUGACCUUUGGAGACAAGAAAAAAUGGACCUUUUUCUCCUGCCAUUGGGGGGCGCUCUUUUGGGGAGUAAAAAUUCCUUCACAAAUGUGUUGAUGGCUGGACAUUGCAUCAUCCUAGAAAACUUGGAGGCCAGUGAGGACAAAAGUAAAAAGUUAUAAGACUUUUAAUAAUGUGGAUUUUUGGGUUAUCUUUGGCGCCCCCUAGAACGUAAACCGUGGGGUGCAGCGUCAUGAUUUGUACAACUUUUAAUGGCCAUGGGGUGUAGAUUGGCCUGCGCAAAUGUGGUGCCGGUCGAACGAAAGCCUUCGGAGGAGUUAGCGAAAUUCCAAUGUGUGCAGAUCUGCAAAAAAUGAAAAAUAACCCAUUAACCGUACAUUUGACAGAUACGCCCGCACUGACUUUUUUGUAGAUCUUAUUGAGAUACACGUGUGUGUCAAUUUUUGUGUCAAUAUGACAAUGCGUACAGCCGUCAUGUGAAUUUUCACCUUAGGGGGCGCUAUGGAGCCAUUUUGCAUUUUAUUGUUUGGGCGACUUCAGAAUAUCGAAUUUUUCACCAGGCCCGGUCGUCCUGCCAAAUUUCCUGAGUUUUCGCCAGUGGGAAGUGGGCCAUUUUCCAGUUUAAAGCGGAGGAAAAAUAAUAACGAAAGAAGGAAACAUGCAGGAACAAGAGGGCUCUCGCAGCUGCUUAGCAGCUACGCUCGGGCCCUAAAGAAAGAAACAAAGACUAGGGCCCCGUUGGGGCACUGUCGGGCCCGAGCCGCGUCGCGCCGCCCCCAGCGCGACCGCCUCCCCCUCCCGAUCGCGUCACACUCAAGGUCCAAAGAUGGUGUGCGCACUUGUCUGUGGUCAUUUCCCAUUAUAAUGAAUGGGAGGCGCAGUUUCUACCAAAACACUCGCUGCAGACAAACUACAUGUCCUAUUUGAAAAAAGUCUGGACCAUGAGUGAGGGCACAAACACAGCUAGGAUAUAUCCAAAUGGCAAGUUGCUCCUCCUUACGGUGUUGCCGGGAGAGCGAUGCGAUUGAGCCAUUGACCGAUGGGCAUGGUUAACUUGACUUUUUCUCCUGCCUUGGGGGGGGGGGGGGGAUGUGGAUUCUUUUAAGAAUGUGGAUAUUUGGGUCAUCUUUGGCGCCCCCUAGAACGUAAACCGUGGGGCGCAGCGUCAUGAUUUCUACAACUUUGAAUGGCCAUGGGAUGUAGAUCGGCUUGAGCAAAUUUGGUGUUGGUGGGACGAAAGCCUUAGGAGGAGUUAGCCACAUUCCAAUGUGUGCGAAUCGGCAAAAAAUGCGAAAUAGCCCUUUAACCGUACAUUUUACAGAUACGUGCCCAUUGAUAUUUUCGUAAAUCUUAUUGAGAUACACGUGUGUGUCAAAUUUUGUGUCAUUUUGACAAAGCGUAUAGGCGUGACAGUCAACAAUGUGUUUUUUCACCUUAGGGGACAAGAAAAAAUUGACUUUUUUCUCCUGCCAUGGGGGGGCGCUCUUUUCGGGAGUAAAAAUUCCUUUACAAAUGUGUUGAUGGCUGGACAUUACAUCAUCCUAGAGAACUUGGAGGCCAGUGAGGAAAAAAAUAAAAAGUUAUAAGACUUUUAAGAAUGUGGACUUUUUGGUUAUCUUUGGCGCCCCCUAGAACCUAAACCGUGGGGUGCAGCGUCAUGAUUUGUACAACUUUCGAUGGCCAUGGGGUGUAGAUUGGCCUGAGCAAAUGUGGUGCCGGUGGAACGAAAGCCUUCGGAGGAGUUAGCGAAAUUUCAAUGUGUGCGGAUCGGCAAAAAAUGCGAAAUAACCCUUUAACCGUACAUUUGACAGAUACGCCCGCACUGACUUUUUUGUAGAUCUUAUUGAGAUACAUGUGUGUGUCAAUUUUUGUGUCAAUAUGACAAAGCGUACAGGCGUGACAGUCAACAGUGUGAAUUUCCACCUUAGGGGGCGCUAUGGAGCCAUUUUGCAUUUUAUUGUUUGGGCGACUUCAGAAUAUCGAAUUUUUCACCAGGCCCGGUCGUCCUGCCAAAUUUCAUGAGUUUUCGCCAGUGGGAAGUGGGCCAUUUUCCAGUUCAAAGGGGAGGAAAAAGAAGAAAGAAAGAAAGAAAGAAAGAAAGAAAGAAAGA